GCAUAUGUAAAUUUGUUACAUUUGUAUUUCCAGGUGGUCCAGGGUUGGAUGAGGACCUAUCAACAGCGCAGACCCUUGCUUUCAAGGGAUCCUGAUGCAUGAAAAUAAAGAUUCACAAGAUGGACAAUUUUGAGCAAUAAGCUACUGAUUUUUCCCUGGCAGUUUGAAGCGAUGAGCCUAGAAGAGCUUUAGUGAAAUGAGAAAUGACUCAAGCGUUGGGAUCAUACUUGUUCAUCUCAGGUCUCCUCUUGCAAAUAUACUCCAUUUAAAGUGCAGCGUUGCUGUCUGAAUAGUAAGACUCAAGAAGGAUGUUAAUUUGCCACUGUUACAAUUUAUUUAUUUAUUUUAGUUUUAUGUAUUUUACUGAGGUUCUGUGCUAUUAAAUCCUUGUGAGAGCUGUUCAUUUUACUGAGUAUGCAUGAAUGUGAUUGCUCACUGUGAGUAAACCAAGACCAAACAAGGUCAUCGUGCUAAACCAUCACAACACGCAAGAAACUGUUUUUUAUUCUCCAAGAAAACUAGUUUGUCAAGAGAAUCGCCCUGUUCAAAGCAUGUUGCCGCCAUUUGUUUCAUUAUGCUGGACACACUCAUGCUCUGGCCAAUUCAUGAGAACACCUGCGUUAGAUUUGAACUAACCAGAAUGUGAGAGUGCUAAAUUAAAUAUUUAAAGACAGACCCCGAAAUAAACAUUGUCAUCAUUUACUCACUUUCAUGUUGUUCUAAACCUGUAUCUAUUUCUUUCUACUGUGGACUACAAGAGAAGAUGUUGCAGUCCAAACAACAUUGGACCCCAAUAAAUUUCAUUGUAUGGACAAAAAAUAAAUAAAUAAUGGAACUUUUUUUUUUUUUUUUUUUUUCAAAAUUUGUUUAGUGUGUCAUAAUUCUGUAAAACCACUCUUGUAACAUGGACAAAAGCAGUGAAGACAUUUUCAAAAUGGGUUAAUUCCAUCCACUUCCCUCUAGCAGUUGGUGGUUGAGAAAGGAAAUUUUUGAGUUUUUGCAAAUACACAAGAGUAAUUGCUAUUGCUAAUCAGAAGCAGAACCAAAAGACAUUCUCAUUCUAGAGAGCAUUUUAUUGGACAACAAAUGUGAAUAUACCCGUGAGUGCAAGAUGAGUCAUCAAUAUUUUUUGCCCGUUUUGCUGGAAAAAUGUACACAUAUUGCAUAACUUAGCAAAAAUAUAUUUGCUGAAAUAUAUUUGCUGCUUGUUUAUUUAGUCAACUUUUGGAAAUACACUUGUAUAGAGAUGACCUCAAAGCUAAAAGACAUGUAAUCACAAAUUUUGUUUUAUGUGUUCUUCUUUGUCUCUGUGUACAGUCAUAAAAACUGAUUGUUAAAUGUGAGGUUUUGUGCAAUGUGAACAGUGCAAGAAGAGAGCGAGUGAUUCUGGGUGUGGUUUUUAUUUAUUUAUUUAUUUUGUGUUUUGUUCCACUGAAAUUAACUGAUGUUAUCAAUGAGUUUACAGUCUGGUGCUUGGUUGUUAAAUAUCAUAUGGUUCUAUCAAAUAAUUUGGUAACACUUUAUUUUACAGUGUUAUUGUUACACAGGUUACAUGUAGUUACUGUAGUAAUAACUAUAAAUUAUGCAUAAUUACAUGCAAUUAAUCCUAAAUCAAACUCUCAUCCUAACCCUAACCCUAUAGUAAGUACAUGCAGUUAAUUAUUAUUACUCUGUACUUAAAUGUAUAAUUACACUGUAACAUGGACACCUUAAAAUAAAGUGUAACCAAUUGUUCUUCCAUUAAUCAGUUCUUAUAUUGUGAGACAUUUGGUCAUUGUCAGCAUAUAAUGUAACCCCUACAUCAACAGUCAGUUUUCAGCUCCACACACACAAGGCUCAGACGAACCACAUCCACAGCCAGAAAUCUUCUCUCUUCCUUCUCUCCCCUCACUGAGGCAGAAGUAUCUAAACUUCUCUCCAUUCAUCCUACUACCUGCCCUCUAGAUCCCAUCUCCUCACACCUUCUACCAGCCAUUGCUCCUACACUUUUACCAGCACUCACACAUCAACAACACAUAUCUCCGCACUGGCAUAUUCCCUACAGCAUUCAAGCAGGCUCAGAAUAUCCAGCUGGACGUUAACCAAUCUGGUUUAAAGAAUGACCAUUCAACCGAUACUGCGUUACUGUUUUGUCACUGAAGCCCUGCGGAUUGCAAAAGCUGAUUCCAAAUCAUCAGUUCUCAUUCUGCUGGAUCUAUCUGCUGCCUUCGACACUGUAUCAUGAGAUCCUUCUGUCCACCCUCUCAUCAAUGGGCAUCAUCGGAACUCCACUUCACUGGUUUGAAUCUUAUCUCACAGGUCUUUCAGGGUUGCCUGGAGGGGGGAUGUAUCCAAAGCACAUCAACUGAUAAUGGGGGUUUCCUCAGGGUUCAGUUCUUUGACCCCUCCUCUCUUCCAUGUACACUACAUCACUGGGAACCAUCAUACAGACACAUGGUUUCUCAUACCAUUGCUAUGCUGAUGACACAGAUCUAGCUUUCAUUUCAGCCACAUGAUCCAGCAGUAGCUGCACGAAUCUCAAGCUGUCUGGCAGACAUCUCGGCAUGGAUGAAAGAACAUCACCUGCAGCUCAACCUGGCAAAGACUGAUCUUCUUGUCCUCCCUGCCAAUCUGACUCUACAGCACGAUUUCACCAUCCUGCUAGGUUCAUCAUCAAUUUCCCCAUCUAGGUCGGUCAGAAAAAUUGGAAUAAUCUUGACCAGCUGACCUUCAAAGACCACAUGCAAAGACAGCUCGGUCAUGCAGGUUUGCACUACGCAACAUCAGGAAGAUCAGGCCUUUCCUAACUCAGCAAGCAACACAACUUCUCAUCCAAUCCCUGGUCAUUUCUAGGCUUGAUUACUGAAAUGCUCUUCUGACUGGACUUCCGUCAUGUGCAAUCAUAACCUCUUCAAAUGAUACAGAAUGCUGCUGCACAUAUUUUCUUCAAAGGGCCCACGUCACACCUCUCUUCAUCUCUCUGCACUGGCUACCACAUGCUGCUCGCAUCAAGUUCAAGGCAUUGAUGCUUGCUUACAGAUCUACCACAGGCUCAGCACCCUCCUACUUCCACUCGCUCUUACGAGUCUACAUCCCUACCAGAAGCCUGUGAUUGGUAAGUGAGCAACGGCUCGUGGUACCAUCACAGAGAGGCACAAAAUCACUCUCCAAAACAUUUUUGUUUACUGUUCCUUACUGGUGGAAUUCAAAAGACAGCAGAAAACUCAUCUCUUCUAUUCUAGUUUGUGCUACUCUAAGCAAUGAUUGAAACUUCAUAUUAUGAGCACUUCUUGUGUUUAUUUGCGUCUUUAUGUUGAAUCACUUGCUGUAUUCCUCAUUUGUAAGUUGCUUUGGAUAAAAGCAUCUGCAAAAUGAAUAAAUGUAAAUAUAGAAUCUG
Megalobrama amblycephala (Wuchang bream) is the source of this 3376-nucleotide long non-coding RNA. RefSeq lists it as uncharacterized. NCBI's taxonomy places the organism in Eukaryota, Metazoa, Chordata, Actinopteri, Cypriniformes, Xenocyprididae. The record is from RefSeq and is a predicted model, not a curated record. The transcript has 3 exons.